This is a non-coding RNA of Meleagris gallopavo (turkey), 2285 nucleotides long. The record is from RefSeq and is a predicted model, not a curated record. Lineage: Eukaryota; Metazoa; Chordata; Aves; Galliformes; Phasianidae.
UAUCCUAAUCCAGAUAACACAAUUACAUAGCUUACAAGUAAUGCAGACAGUAAGCUGUAAAUGUGAGAUACACUCCAACUCUGAUGCAUACACCAACACAUAUACAGAUGCACUCAAUGAAUAAUGUACACCACAAAAAACACCAUGUAGAAGUCUUUGUGGGGAUUUCACAAGUCUAUCACAAUAAACACAUAUAACAGCUUAGCUUUUUCUUGCUGUACUUACUAAACUUAAAAGAAAAAAUGGCAAUGUUUGUUUCUGAAUAGAAGUGGAUGGAUUAUUAACAGCUCAUUGGCAGCUCUCACCACUGAUUUGGGACAGUCACUGAAGUACUGUAAAACUGAAGUUUGCUGUAUAUAUGGUAACAGAAAAUACAAAAAAACCCUCUCCUUUGACAUACUCUUGCAUGUUAAUUCCAAGCCUUGAAAAUUCAAGCACAUAUUCUCUCUUCUCUGUAUUACUGGGUAGUAUCUGUUGCAAUGGCUUUGCACACCAACCUUAUUCUUAUCUUCCAAAAUAAAAAAGUGUAACAGUAAAAAAAUUCAAAUAAUCAGAAAGAGCAAUUCUAAAAAAAUCUAUAAUUAAGUGUAGUAAUUUAUCUAACUAGCACCACAUGAAGAAAAUCAGUGGCUUUUUCAUGAGCUAAUAUUUAAAUUACAAAACGUCUCAUAUGAUUGCUUGUCACACAGCAGUGUCUCCAACAAUGUUUAUGUUCUAAAUUCUCUGCCAGUGUUCUAAUCUACUUCUAUACUUGCUGGAAAUUUGAAUCUCUAAAGUGAUUUCAAAAUAUUAUUUUAAGCUCAAGAGCUGCUAACAAUAUUUCAUCAUGAGACAUGCUGUUUGAAUGCUAUCUGUGCUGCAGGGUAUAAUGAAUCAAAAUAUUUUUCAGAGCAUCUUUUCACUGCCUCUUCACUGUUAUUUUCACGUGACUAGUCCCAUAUUCAUGUUCUCACUAACAUUCAUAAGAAUACUAAUAAAAUAUCUUGGGCUUGUAUUAAAAACAAACAAACAACAACGUAUACUUCUUAUUUAAAUCAUGACUAAAGUAUGCCAGCAUGUGGUGAGAGCAGGUGCUAGAAUAGCUCAAAGUCAUUCUACAGAAAGCAAGGAAAACAAGUUAGUUCAGCGAUCUAAUCUUAUUUAAUAAAUGAAAAACUUCAUGCUAUGAAAAACAAAAUUAAAACACAUUAUUACAUUCCAUUAAGGAAUAGCAAGAAGCCUUACAACUAGCUAUAAGCAUCUCCACCUAAAUAGUAUUCACAUAAGGCACUAAAUGUUAAGAGGCUUGUCCAAACUCUAAUGUAUAAACUUUCCCUUCCAUAACAUCUCAUACAUGUGUACUGCCAAUGACAGCAAGCAGUUGGUGCUUCUUGGUACUGUCUGCAGAACUGAAUGUUCUAGAAACAAACCGUUGCUUCAAUUAUAGGACAUCACCUACCUCUUUCUGAUUACAGGUUUGCAAUACAUGGUUAAUGUAUUUCAAAACUAAUUCAUUUUCAACCUCUGUAACUUUCAUACUUUUAUUAAGCUAAAUUUCCAUUUUUACUUUUGAUACUUUCAUCAUAUGCUCUUACUAUUAAGGCUAUGGAUAUGAGUAACCAUCAGUAUCUUUAAAUAAGGUUCUCAACAUCCACCAAACAAAAAAACACCUUCCAAAUAAUCAGAUUCAUGUUAUCUGGCUUUAUAUUUUUGUCAUCCUAAAAUUCAGACCCAAAGAUGCUGGAUUAUUUAUACUCAAAACCCACAUUUUCUGCAGCAAAAGUGCUAAAAUGAUCUGGUUUCACACAAGGUAUUAUGGUCCUCAAUGGCAAACUUUCUAUUUCAGUAUAUGAGAAUUUGCCAGCUGUUAACUACCAGUGGGAUAAAAGGUUUUGCUACAAGGAGCGAUGGAUUAUGCCUCAGAACUUUGCAAAAGCAGCAUGGAGAAGCUUUCAUAUGUUUGGAGGACUCAGCUGAAUGUGAAACUCUUUCAAUCUCUCAGCAAAAUUGGCUCCUGAACAGAAGCACACAAAGACCUCUGUAACCUGGAAAUGAGUUUUUAAACAGGAAAUGUCUCAAUUCACAAAGGCAUACAAGACAUAAUUUCUUAUUUGCAGCAUGCUAUGCACCUCAAAAAUAUAUCUCCAGAAACUACGAUGUUGAUAUAAAUAUUCCAAGAUCCUCUAUCGUUUUGAAUUAAGGACCUUCUUUAGAAUAAAUAACUGUAUCAAUGAUCUGUAAUCUGAGAAUACGAUCAACAAGACUUUAUCUUGAUGCAAUUUUGGUAUAAUUUUCACAUUAAAAGA